Molecule: ribosomal RNA, 305 nt
Filed under: uncultured bacterium
Lineage: Bacteria
Description: partial 16S ribosomal RNA
Rfam family: Bacterial small subunit ribosomal RNA
Source: RNAcentral
ACAGCAGCAGCCACGGUAAUACGUAGGUCCCGAGCGUUGUCCGGAUUUAUUGGGCGUAAAGGGAGCGCAGGCGGUUAGAUAAGUCUGAAGUUAAAGGCUGUGGCUUAACCAUAGUACGCUUUGGAAACUGUUUAACUUGAGUGCAAGAGGGGAGAGUGGAAUUCCAUGUGUAGCGGUGAAAUGCGUAGAUAUAUGGAGGAACACCGGUGGCGAAAGCGGCUCUCUGGCUUGUAACUGACGCUGAGGCUCGAAAGCGUGGGGAGCAAACAGGAUUAGAUACCCCCGUAGUCCCUGUCUCUUAUACA